Molecule: long non-coding RNA, 669 nt
Organism: Pipistrellus kuhlii (Kuhl's pipistrelle)
Lineage: Eukaryota; Metazoa; Chordata; Mammalia; Chiroptera; Vespertilionidae
Exons: 3
Source: RefSeq, a predicted model, not a curated record
GUAAUAUGCAUGAGCAUUUUUGCUGCUAUACAAUUACAUGGUGACUAAACUAUGAUUGUAUAUAUCUAUUUUUAUUUUUGAUGUCAGCCUAUUAUUUAUCUGAUGAACUCUCUCCUUUCCUUUUUUAGCUGGUGUUUUAGUCUUCUCCUCUCUCUUCCCCCUGCAUUCUCCCUGUAAAGUGCCCGUGCAGGCCAUGGUGUUGCAUGAGCCCAGCCUCCGUGGGACAGCGUGGUGUCACUGCUGAUCGGCAGCUGGGCCUGAGAUGCUGGAGCUAAGCUGCAGCUCGCAUUGUUUCCUGCGAACUUCUGCCUCUCAGGGCUGUGGAAAUUGAUGACCGAAUAACGCAGUAGCCUCGUCUAGGUUCCAGGCACUGCUUUAGGUGAUGGGGAUUCAGCCGUGAAUGCCAUUGACUGCCCUUCUGGAGCUUACAUUUUAGGAGUAAAGACAGAUAAUAAAAUAAUGAAAUAAGACCUGGCUUAUGUUUUUAAAGGGCUGCAUUGAUGAGAAUAUACCAUAGAGGCCUCUUAGGGAUAAUACCAUUUUCUCUUAACUUAAAGGGAUGUGUCUGUGGUUCCAAAGACUGGACAUAGGCACAGGCAGCCAAUUACCGCUGGUGGCCGGAGAGCAAAUCUGAUCCCUAGAGUGAAUAAGAAGGGAUAUGUAGUCUGG